This 769-nucleotide long non-coding RNA is filed under the name Struthio camelus australis. RNAcentral's name for it is "lncRNA (ENSSCUG00000014013.1)". Lineage: Eukaryota; Metazoa; Chordata; Aves; Struthioniformes; Struthionidae. The record is from RNAcentral.
UUGAUCCUGGCAGCAGUCGUUGGCAAAACUUAAAGCAAUCGUGUUCUCUUAUACAAGACUAAUUAGGAUCAUCUUGUAGUGAUUUCCCAUGAUGUAGCAGGCUUGUGUCCUCUGCUGGCUGCAUCUCACUUGGUAUGAAGCAUGAAAGUGACCAAGAGCGACAAUGAAAUGUAUGAUUUAGGAGUGGCCUUUUGCAAGUUGCAGAAAUAACUGAAUUGUCUAAACCCCUCUGGAUGACAGACAACAGCAACAUAAACAACAAAAAAUGCCUGAAAUGAAGGCCCUGGAAUGGGGAAAUCAACAGACCGCUCAGAGUCACACCUGAGGAUGCAUAGGACAGCCAAAGGUGCCCAAGCUACGCAGGGUUUUUUUGUUCAACUCAACUGUCAUUUCUGCAUGUGCCACAUGAUAUCUUUGACUCACUGCCUCCUACGCUGCAGGAUCAGAAAGCUGACGUGGAGAAAGGGGAGAACGUGUGCCCUCAUCCUUCUUGACAGGGGAAAGCACUGAGACUGCAAGGAAUCUCUGAACUGAGGAGAACAGCACACAUCCUGCCCUCCAGAGAAGUUAAACUCCGCUGUUGCGGCCCGUGCUGAACCCUUAGCUUCCAGUGGAAGAGCUGGGGAUCUCCCAGCAAGUCAGCAUCCGCUAAAAGGGAACUAACAUCCUACAGUCAGGUAUGGUGCAGUGCUCCUGUUCUUGCUGUAGAGGCCCUAUUAUUCUGAAAGUCUGAUAAGCCCAGCAUCAUGCAGGACUGCCCUGGAAAGCC